CUCCUGGAGAGAGACACUUCCUUUACCGUCUGUCCAGAUGUCCCUAGAACUCCAGUGGGCAAAUUUCUUGGUGAUUCUGCAAACCUAAGCAUUUUGUCUGAGGAACCCCAAAACGUUGCCUCGAUCUUUCGAAUCUUAGCAGUGGGGAGAUAACUGCCACUCAGCUUACCACUUCUGCAGACCUUGAUGAAACUGUCACCUGGAUUCUUCAGGACUUCAGGAAGUGCAUUUAGCUGGGAGACAAUGGAAACUUGGUGGACAGUGAAAUGAAAUAUUUGGGCAGUCCCAUUACUACUGUUCCAAAAUUGGAUAAAAAUCCAAACCUAGGAGAAGACCAGGCAGAAGAGAUUUCAGAUGAAUUAAUGGAGUUUUCCCUGAAAGAUCAAGAAGCAAAGGUAAAGUGUUCUG
This 408-nucleotide long non-coding RNA is filed under the name Homo sapiens (human). Its description in RNAcentral is "non-protein coding lnc-GFRA3-1:2". The record is from RNAcentral. Lineage: Eukaryota; Metazoa; Chordata; Mammalia; Primates; Hominidae.